UGUGGUUUAAUUCGAAGCAACGCGCAGAACCUUACCAACCCUUGACAUCCUGUGCUAACUCGAGAGAUCGAGCGUUCACUUCGGUGACGCAGUGACAGGUGCUGCAUGGCUGUCGUCAGCUCGUGUCGUGAGAUGUUCGGUUAAGUCCGGCAACGAGCGCAACCCACAUCCUUAGUUGCCAGCAGGUUAAGCUGGGCACUCUAGGGAAACUGCCCGUGAUAAGCGGGAGGAAGGUGUGGAUGACGUCAAGUCCUCAUGGCCCUUACGGGUUGGGCUACACACGUGCUACAAUGGCAGUGACAAUGGGUUAAUCCCAAAAAGCUGUCUCAGUUCGGAUUGGGGUCUGCAACUCGACCCCAUGAAGUCGGAAUCGCUAGUAAUCGCGUAACAGCAUGACGCGGUGAAUACGUUCCCGGGCCUUGUACACACCGCCCGUCACGCCACCUGAGUUGUCUGCACCCGAAGUCGAUGGCCCAACCCGCAAGGGAGGGAGUCGCCGAAGGUGUGGGGAGC
This 513-nucleotide ribosomal RNA is filed under the name uncultured Oxalobacteraceae bacterium. Its description in RNAcentral is "bacterial SSU rRNA". It matches the Rfam family "Bacterial small subunit ribosomal RNA", at positions 940 to 1472 of the family's 1533-position model. Lineage: Bacteria; Pseudomonadati; Pseudomonadota; Betaproteobacteria; Burkholderiales; Oxalobacteraceae. The record is from RNAcentral.